CCUACGGGAGGCAGCAGUGAGGAAUAUUGGUCAAUGGACGAGAGUCUGAACCAGCCAAGUAGCGUGAAGGAUGACUGCCCUAUGGGUUGUAAACUCCUUUUAUAUGGGAAUAAAACGUUCCACGUGUGGGAUUUUGUAUGUACCAUAUGAAUAAGGAUCGGCUAACUCCGUGCCAGCAGCCGCGGUAAUACGGAGGAUCCGAGCGUUAUCCGGAUUUAUUGGGUUUAAAGGGAGCGUAGGUGGAUUGUUAAGUCAGUUGUGAAAGUUUGCGGCUCAACCGUAAAAUUGCAGUUGAAACUGGCAGUCUUGAGUACAGUAGAGGUGGGCGGAAUUCGUGGUGUAGCGGUGAAAUGCUUAGAUAUCACGAAGAACUCCGAUUGCGAAGGCAGUUCACUGGACUGCAACUGACACUGAGGCUCGAAAGUGUGGGUAUCAAACAGGAUUAGAUACCCCUGUAGUC
RNAcentral lists this ribosomal RNA (460 nucleotides) under uncultured bacterium. RNAcentral's name for it is "partial 16S ribosomal RNA". It matches the Rfam family "Bacterial small subunit ribosomal RNA", at positions 338 to 795 of the family's 1533-position model. The record is from RNAcentral.